UUAGAAGUUAGUGGAAAGAGAUGGGAGAGUGCAAGAAGGUAAGAUUAUAAGCAUAUAGAUUCCAUAUACAUACUCAACAAAUGCUUGUUGAUUAAUUGAGUCUAAAUAUCCUGUAGUCUCUGUUUUCCAGUUCAUCCUGUUGCCUAAGUCAUGUCCUUUACACAUUGGAUGAUGCUGGCAAUCUCUGAAAAUUCAUAUCAAACUCCCUUUCUUUAUUUCUUUGUUGAUUCAGGACUUCCAUAAUGGAAGAGCCAUGUAACCUGAGAGAGUUAACUCAUACAAAUAUGAAGAAAGAUGUAACUGAAGAUCUCCCAUUGACUAAGUCAGAGAGUGGCAGGCAUGAAGAAACCAAUGAAAAUGCUGACAGUGUGCAGGAAGCAGCUGAAAUAGUUUCUUCCGGUACUGAGAAAUCUUUGUCAAUGAAUAACCUCUCGGGAAAGGAAAUCAAAAAUUGCCAAAUUGACUUUCAAAAUGAGGAGUCUUUGGAAAAUGACCAAAUUACUGAGGAAAAAAGGUGGAAUCAAAGAACACUUCAGAUGUUAGACUAUUUACGGGUAAGAAAAGAAAUACUGACUUGCUGAAAACUACCAGACAUUGAUAAAAUGACAAGGAGU
RNAcentral lists this long non-coding RNA (614 nucleotides) under Phascolarctos cinereus (koala). RNAcentral describes it as "lncRNA (ENSPCIG00000033590.1)". Lineage: Eukaryota; Metazoa; Chordata; Mammalia; Diprotodontia; Phascolarctidae. The record is from RNAcentral.